Molecule: transfer RNA, 69 nt
Filed under: Planctomycetota bacterium
Lineage: Bacteria; Pseudomonadati; Planctomycetota
Description: tRNA-Met
Source: RNAcentral
AACGGGUUUUCUGCGGUAUUUGGGAACUGGCUCAUAACCUCGAGGUCACAGGUUCGAAUCCUGUCCCCG